This 68-nucleotide transfer RNA is filed under the name Darevskia clarkorum. RNAcentral describes it as "tRNA-Met". It matches the Rfam family "tRNA". From Rfam's summary of the family: Transfer RNA (tRNA) molecules are approximately 80 nucleotides in length. Their secondary structure includes four short double-helical elements and three loops (D, anti-codon, and T loops). The record is from RNAcentral. Lineage: Eukaryota; Metazoa; Chordata; Lepidosauria; Squamata; Lacertidae.
AGUAAAGUCAGCUAAUUAAGCUCUUGGGCCCAUACCCCAAAGAUGUUGGUCAAACCCCUCCUUUACUA